RNAcentral lists this ribosomal RNA (253 nucleotides) under uncultured bacterium. RNAcentral's name for it is "partial 16S ribosomal RNA". It matches the Rfam family "Bacterial small subunit ribosomal RNA", at positions 524 to 776 of the family's 1533-position model. The record is from RNAcentral.
UACAGAGGGUGCGAGCGUUGUUCGGAAUUAUUGGGCGUAAAGGGCGCGUAGGCGGUGCCACAAGUCACUUGUGAAAUCCCCGGGCUUAACCCGGGGCCUGCAGGCGAAACUGUGGUGCUGGAGUAUGGGAGAGGUGCGUGGAAUUCCUGGUGUGGCGGUGAAAUGCGUAGAUAUCAGGAGGAACACCUGUGGCGAAAGCGGCGCACUGGACCACAACUGACGCUGAGGCGCGAAAGCUAGGGGAGCAAACAGG